GGAAGGAUCAUUAGAGGAUUUUAAAAAAAAUACCAUUAAAAAAACCGCUACGGUAGGUGGUCAGUUCUAGCGACCCGUCUGAUCAACGGGUUGUUAUUCUGCUCAUUCCGCCCUAGCCCAUACGUCUCGCUUGGAUGAUUACUCGAUGACACGUCUUGAUCAACCUGUCGUCGUGUAAUCAUUCAUCCAGAUGUCGAUGUCUCGAUUGAUUUGAUUACUUGAUGGCACGUCUUGAUCAACGUGUCGUCGUGUAAUCGUCGUCAAGAUGUCAUAGCCUAAUCGCGCCCUUGACUUGAUUAGUCGUCGACACUUCUGAUCAUUGUGUCGUUGACUCAUCAAAUAUCAAGGUGUCGUAAUCACAUCACGCGUUAUUUUCGGUCCAGUAACGCGUCGGCUACCGAAGCGACUCUUAGCGGGGUCGUUUCGGUGGGAUUGAGAGUGUGCUGCCUUAGCGGGUAGCACUCUCUUGAACUGACCCUAGCUCGCUUUGCACUUUGAUCUGCAGUCCUAGUGCGAAGCGGGCUUAAAAAAAAAAUUACUUUACCAUUACCAAUUACCUUUUAUACAACUUUUAGCGGUGGAUGACUCGGCUUUCGUAUCGAUGAAGAACGUAGCAAAAUGCGAUAACUAAUGGGAAUUGCAGAAUACGUUGACCAUCGAGUUUUUGAAUGCAACCUGCGCCCUUCUCCGUAAGGGGUUAGGGCGUACUUGAUUGAGCUCGGGCAUUAUACGUCUCUGCCUUUAGUAACCCUUAGCGGGGCGAAAGCGGUGGGGGAAGAUGAGGGUGUACUGUAACAGGUACUCCCUUUAAAUACAUAAGGCGUUCGGUUAACGAGCUUGCCCUCUUUAUGCGUCGAAGGACUUCUCUCAUAGUAUAUUGACGUAAAACCAGUAGGUGGGUCUAGCACCCCGUUGUAAGCAAUGUAUUAAGUAACUUUGUAUCCGUUUGACUUGCAAGGCUCCACGUGGGUUUUGAAGUUGGGCGCGGUAGAAACAAAUCUGCUUUUGCAGCGAUUGCGCUACCUACUCGGGUCGAUAUUCUGUGGUGUUAGGGAGGUUCGUUAGGCAGUAAAAUGUGGCGGUCUUGUUACGGGGAGGUGAUGCUCCCAACCAACGGCUACGGCCCCAAUUGCGUGCGGUCCAAAAAUCUGCUACAUUUGCGGUGCCCCCGUUUCGGCGUGGGGUGCUUCCGGUAGUGGAGAAAUGCUCUAGGGAGAAAUUUAUUUUUCUUCCAUAGGGCGACCUUUAAGUACCGACUCAAUCAAGUACGAUUACCCGCUGAAUUUAAGCAUAUUAUUAGGCGGAGGAAAAGAAAAUAACUAUGAUUCCCUCAGUAACGGCGAGUGAACCGGGAAGAGCUCAUCCUGAACCGGUAGGGACUAAACUUCUUAUCGGGAUGUGGGGUUUCGUCUAGUCUAUCUGAAGGCGGCUCUAGCUGAAUUCCUCUGGAAAGGGGGACCACAGAAGGUGAAAGUCCUGUAGGCUGUUAAAGAGCUGUCUUUGGGCGAGAGACUGGUACGUAGAGUCGGGUUGUUUGAGAGUACAACCCUAAUCGGGUGAUAAACUUCAUCCAAAGCUAAAUACCAACGAAAGACCGAUAGCAAACAAGUACCGUGAGGGAAAGUUGAAAAGAACUUUGAAAAGAGAGUUAAAAGUACCUGAAACCGCUAAAAGGUAAGCGAUUGGCAUCAUCGGCGUAAUAGGCUCUGGAAUUCAAUUAGUAGGGCUGUAAGGCUCUUGAUGGAGAGUGCUUCGACGGGAGUACCUCUAAAGGGGGCUUGAAAGUUUUACUGGUGUACUUUCUGGGGCUGUACGGUCAGGGUCGUUUCGGCCUUGGGGAAAAAACUGGGCGCUUGGAAGUGCCUAAUAGCAUGGAUAGGCGCCUAGGUAAUACCUUAGGCUGGAGCGUGGGCUUUGAAAGAGGCAUUGGCAGGGGUAUUCUCGGUACGCUGGACGGUAGCAAUACUGCUUCGGUUAUCCUGAACCUGCCACCGAGCCCUGAUAAGAUGGAAUCAAUCGUCCCGUCUUGAAACACGGACCAAGGAGUGUAAAUGAUGUGCGAGUCUUAGGGCGUUAAAACCCGAGGGCGCAAUGAAAGUAAUCAUGCAUCUGAAACCCGCAAGGGACUGCAAGGUGGACCGACAGGCGGUUACAACCGCUUGUUCGAGUAAGAGCACAUCGUUUACGACCCGAAAGGUGGCGAACUAUGCUUGCGUAGGACGAAGCCAGAAGAAAUUCUGGUGGAGGUUCGCAGCGGUAUUGACGUGCAAAUCAUUCGUCAAACGUGAGUAUAGCGGCGAAAGACUAAUCGAGCCGCCUAGUAGCUGGUUCCCUC
This 2335-nucleotide unclassified non-coding RNA is filed under the name uncultured fungus. RNAcentral describes it as "sequence contains 18S rRNA gene, ITS1, 5.8S rRNA gene, ITS2, 28S rRNA gene". The stretch from base 1252 to 2335 matches the Rfam family "Eukaryotic large subunit ribosomal RNA", at positions 1 to 961 of the family's 3401-position model. Lineage: Eukaryota; Fungi. The record is from RNAcentral.